UACGGAGGGGGCAAGCGUUGUUCGGAAUUACUGGGCGUAAAGCGCGCGUAGGCGGGCGGUUAAGUGAGAAGUGAAAGGCUGGGGCUUAACCCCAUGCAGUGCUUCUCAUACUGAUCGUCUUGAGGGCGGUAGAGAGAAGUGGAAUGGCUGGUGUAGCGGUGAAAUGCGUAGAUAUCAGUCGGAACACCGGUGGCGAAGGCGGUCUGCUGGGGUAAUGCUGACACUGAUGCGCGACAGCGUGGGGAGCAAACAGG
Molecule: ribosomal RNA, 254 nt
Filed under: uncultured bacterium
Lineage: Bacteria
Description: partial 16S ribosomal RNA
Rfam family: Bacterial small subunit ribosomal RNA
Source: RNAcentral